UACAGAGGGUGCAAGCGUUGUUCGGAAUUAUUGGGCGUAAAGCGCGUGUAGGCGGCUUGGUAAGUCAGGGGUGAAAUCCCACGGCCCAACCGUGGAAGUGCCUCUGAUACUGCCGGCCUCGAGGGGGAUAGGGGCGUGCGGAACUCAGGGUGGAGCGGUGAAAUGCGUAGAUAUCCUGAGGAACACCGGUGGCGAAAGCGGCGCGCUGGAUCCCUUCUGACGCUGAGGCGCGAAAGCCAGGGGAGCAAACGGG
This 253-nucleotide ribosomal RNA is filed under the name uncultured bacterium. RNAcentral describes it as "partial 16S ribosomal RNA". It matches the Rfam family "Bacterial small subunit ribosomal RNA", at positions 524 to 776 of the family's 1533-position model. The record is from RNAcentral.